This 370-nucleotide ribosomal RNA is filed under the name uncultured Veillonella sp. Its description in RNAcentral is "bacterial SSU rRNA". It matches the Rfam family "Bacterial small subunit ribosomal RNA", at positions 527 to 896 of the family's 1533-position model. Lineage: Bacteria; Bacillati; Bacillota; Negativicutes; Veillonellales; Veillonellaceae. The record is from RNAcentral.
GUAGGUGGCAAGCGUUGUCCGGAAUUAUUGGGCGUAAAGCGCGCGCAGGCGGAUCAGUUAGUCUGUCUUAAAAGUUCGGGGCUUAACCCCGUGAUGGGAUGGAAACUGCUGAUCUAGAGUAUCGGAGAGGAAAGUGGAAUUCCUAGUGUAGCGGUGAAAUGCGUAGAUAUUAGGAAGAACACCAGUGGCGAAGGCGACUUUCUGGACGAAAACUGACGCUGAGGCGCGAAAGCCAGGGGAGCGAACGGGAUUAGAUACCCCGGUAGUCCUGGCCGUAAACGAUGGGUACUAGGUGUAGGAGGUAUCGACCCCUUCUGUGCCGGAGUUAACGCAAUAAGUACCCCGCCUGGGGAGUACGACCGCAAGGUUG